UAAGGAAUAUUGGUCAAUGGACGCAAGUCUGAACCAGCCAUGCCGCGUGAAGGAUGAAGGUCCUCUGGAUUGUAAACUUCUUUUAUCUGGGACGAAAACGGGAUUUUUAUCUCAAUUGACGGUACCAGAGGAAUAAGCACAGGCUAACUCCGUGCCAGCAGCCGCGGUAAUACGGAGGGUGCGAGCGUUAUCCGGAUUUACUGGGUUUAAAGGGUGCGUAGGUGGGCUUAUAAGUCAGUGGUGAAAUCUCCGAGCUUAACUUGGAAACUGCCGUUGNUACUAUAGGUCUUGAAUUAUCUGGAGGUAAGCGGAAUAUGUCAUGUAGCGGUGAAAUGCUUAGAUAUGACAUAGAACACCAAUUGCGAAGGCAGCUUACUACAUAUAAAUUGACGCUGAGGCACGAAAGCGUGGGGAUCAAACA
Molecule: ribosomal RNA, 421 nt
Filed under: uncultured bacterium
Lineage: Bacteria
Description: bacterial SSU rRNA
Rfam family: Bacterial small subunit ribosomal RNA
Source: RNAcentral